RNAcentral lists this small RNA (28 nucleotides) under Bombyx mori (domestic silkworm). RNAcentral describes it as "ovarian small RNA-10515". Lineage: Eukaryota; Metazoa; Arthropoda; Insecta; Lepidoptera; Bombycidae. The record is from RNAcentral.
AAGAGAAUGUAACCAUAGUAACCAGUUA